AUUGAACGCUGGCGGCAUGCUUUACACAUGCAAGUCGGACGGCAGCAUAAGAGAGCUUGCUCUUUUGAUGGCGAGUGGCGAACGGGUGAGUAAUGCAUCGGAACGUACCGAGUAGUGGGGGAUAACUGUCCGAAAGGAUGGCUAAUACCGCAUAUUCUCUGAGGAGGAAAGCAGGGGACCUUAGGGCCUUGCGCUAUUUGAGCGGCCGAUGUCUGAUUAGCUAGUUGGUGGGGUAAGAGCCCACCAAGGCGACGAUCAGUAGCGGGUCUGAGAGGAUGAUCCGCCACACUGGGACUGAGACACGGCCCAGACUCCUACGGGAGGCAGCAGUGGGGAAUUUUGGACAAUGGGCGCAAGCCUGAUCCAGCCAUGCCGCGUGUAUGAAGAAGGCCUUCGGGUUGUAAAGUACUUUUGUCAGGGAAGAAAAGCCUGAGGAUAACACCCUCAGGUCAUGACGGUACCUGAAGAAUAAGCACCGGCUAACUACGUGCCAGCAGCCGCGGUAAUACGUAGGGUGCGAGCGUUAAUCGGAAUUACUGGGCGUAAAGCGAGCGCAGACGGUUAUUUAAGCAAGAUGUGAAAGCCCCGGGCUCAACCUGGGAACUGCGUUUUGAACUGGGUAACUAGAGUGUGUCAGAGGGGGGUAGAAUUCCACGUGUAGCAGUGAAAUGCGUAGAGAUGUGGAGGAAUACCGAUGGCGAAGGCAGCCCCCUGGGAUAACACUGACGUUCAUGCUCGAAAGCGUGGGUAGCAAACAGG
RNAcentral lists this ribosomal RNA (759 nucleotides) under uncultured Neisseriaceae bacterium. Its description in RNAcentral is "bacterial SSU rRNA". It matches the Rfam family "Bacterial small subunit ribosomal RNA", at positions 28 to 776 of the family's 1533-position model. Lineage: Bacteria; Pseudomonadati; Pseudomonadota; Betaproteobacteria; Neisseriales; Neisseriaceae. The record is from RNAcentral.